This is a non-coding RNA of Trichobilharzia regenti, 46 nucleotides long. The record is from Rfam. Lineage: Eukaryota; Metazoa; Platyhelminthes; Trematoda; Strigeidida; Schistosomatidae.
GUACUGAUGAGGAGUCCCAAACUAGGACUAAACGACUGUCAAGUAC